Molecule: long non-coding RNA, 2532 nt
Filed under: Anser cygnoides (Swan goose)
Lineage: Eukaryota; Metazoa; Chordata; Aves; Anseriformes; Anatidae
Description: lncRNA (ENSACDG00005006005.1)
Source: RNAcentral
AUGCUGGCGCAAUGCUCACCGGUGACCCACAUUUUUAGCAACAUUAACAACUCGAAGGGAUGCAGUCAGCGUGCUCUGAGAGGCACAAACGGCACGGGCACGUUUUUAUGGCUUUUUGCAGGAGCGACCGACAGCCCGCCCAUCAGAGGGGCACCGCAGCGCACCCGCGAGGCGCCAUCCCCUCCCCGCUGGCAGCCAGGCACCGCGUUUCUGAGCCUAAUUCUGGGCUCCCCAGACCCGAGGCAGGGCCUGCAGGCAGCACGUCACCUUCCAGUUACCCGGCGGUGCCCGCAGGCACUGGAGCUACCCGCGCUCUUUGGGCAACGAGGCACUCUGAAGCGCGGCUGUCACUCUGAUGGCCUCUGCAGCAGCACAGCUCUUAAAUCCGCUGCCCCAAAGGCUCCUGUGCCCUCCACGCAGCCUCCUAACCAGCCACCGCCUCCCGAGACACCCGCUCGAGCCAUUUCCCUUUUCCCCCCCCAAGUAUGAAACAGUUCAACGCGCUUCUGACUGCACGCUUUAACGUCUGGCGUGCAGCUCACAACGCCGCUCAUUUAGCUAAUGAAGAUUAAAAAAAGACAGCUGCAAAGCCCGCUUUGCUAUCCCACUAGAGAAAGCGCCGUGAGCAGCUCGUGAGACAUCUGUGAACCUGUGCAUGAACUGCCCGCUCCUCCCAGCCCUCACGAUGAAGGGCUGAGCAGCGACAUUUGAGCCACAACAGUACCUCCUUUGUUCCAGAUGCAAAUCCCAUCACAGCCUAGUCCAUCUGUAUCUCUAUCGCCACCGAAGUCAACUCUUUGAAGGAUUCCUCCGAGAAGAAUCGGAAAAAAAUUAACCAAGUGCAACCGUCUGCUUGGCUACUGCCGACUGGGACAGGGAGGGAAGGAAAGGCAGAGCGUUACGGCCUACCGAGACACGUGCAGCAGGCGUGUUUCAGUUUCCAAGCAGAACACUGCCAUUUAUUUUGCCCUGUACAACUUUACAUAGCCUGGGGGCACAGCCGUGGCCAGCCGCAGUAACCCAGGGGCUGCAGGAACCGCUGGCACGGCUCGGGAGAAGCGGCUGCUGGCACAGUGCUCCCGGGUGCAGCGCUCCAUUCCCAGAGGUUACCUUCGGAACGUGGAGGCCUGCAGCUCGCACGCAAGGUCUGCCAGGAGAAAGCGAAAGGCUUUUGGCAAGAUACUCGGUUAUAGUUCUUCAUUUAUUAUUUACCGAGGCACUUCAACGCUGGACACUUACGAGAGACAUUCUAGACAACAAAGGCAGCACGUCAGGAAAAACCCUUUCCGCACACGUAACGUUCCGGCACGGCUGGCCGCGCGCUGCACGCGAGCUCGGCAGGUCGGACCCCAGGCAGGGCCUUCCCACAGCCCCUCCACCGCCGAGCGGCGGCGUGCUGAAUCGAAUCUGCCGACGCUGCAGCAGGGGGAUCUGCGCUCGUGGAACGGCGCGCAUCAAGGACACGGCGGCCAGGCAGCUGCUAACGGGCUCGGCAAGUGGGCGAAUUUACACCCGCUGCCCUCCUGCUUCUGCCGCCGCCUCCCAGAGCAGCCGGUGGGCACAAGAGCCUGCGAGCUGGGUUUUUACACUCAGGAUGCGCACGGUUCCACCCAUGCCCGCGUAACUUUUUAACCUGUAUGAAAAAAUGUAUUUUUCAUACCUCUGUAUUCUUCCACAACCACAUCAAUGCGAACCAAGAGGCUAAUUAUCCCCUACUUUGAAAGCCUGCUGGUAAAACAAAGGCACGGUUAGGUGAAGCUUUCUGAGAACACGGGAACACAAGGCUUGUAUCGAGCGUUCAAGACAAACGCAUACAGUGGGUUUGAACAGCACAGAUUUCAUAAACUGCUCCGAAUUUGUAGGUAAAAAAGGUGUUCCACAAAUUGUAAUCGGUAUUUCACCUGAAGAAAGAAAAAAGGUUGAUUCUUUAGAAGAGCAAAAAGGUCACCCUUACCUAAUUCCACAGAGAAAAAUCAAAACCAGGGGAAGAAAGAGCCCUCUCAAUCAGUUUGGCUAGCCCCCCAUCUGGUCUGGAUUACCUCUUCAUUCCUCCCUUUCUAACGGUUUGCCCACUCGCACAAAGCAGUGGGCCGGGAUGGCGCAGUGCUCAGGUGCCUCAGCUAAGCACCUGCCAGCUACGUGCCAGCCUGACCCCGGCCCUCCCGCGGGCAUACGAGUCAGCCCCGGAGGCCCCGAGCCUCCCGAACUCACUGGUGCAGGUAGCGGGGACCUCGCCUGGGGAGGCCGAUACCAUCUACAAAUGAAAGCCAUGAAAUGUCCCAACUAAAUCAAGGGCUCAUCACCGCUGGGAAGGCUGGAUGGUGUGACUUACAGAGCCGGAACCACGUAUCGCCAACCUUAAGCUGUCCUAGAAGGAGAGUGACUUCGGCACACCAGCUAAAACUUCGUACGGCAAAUGGAAGUUGUCACUCUGAAACCUUAAAAUAUUUCUCUUAGAUUCCAGCUUUAAAAAUAGACCGGCAUUAUUUCCAUGACUGAUUUUUCUUUAAAUAAAUGCAAAUGAUCCAUCCA